UGUGGAGUGAAACUUGUAGAUACUCGUUGGAUCACCACUCGUUAAGGCUCCGCAGCUAGCUCGAUACAAUCGCUGAGUUUCGACAGUGUAGGUAGCAAGCAUGAUUAGAUAUUCCGGUAGUCCACACCGUAAACGAUGAGUGCCAGUGGUCGGGUAGAAUACUAUUCGGUGACACACCUAGCGGAUAAAGCAUUCAUCCUGGGGAGUACGGUCGCAUAGAUUAAAAAUCAAAGGAAGUGACGGGUGUCCGCACAAGCGGAAGAGCAUGUGGUUUAAUUCGAAGCAACGCGCAGAACCUUACCAACCUUUGACAUCCUGUGCCACUACCUGAGCACGUACGUACCCUUUGGGGGCGCAUUGACAGGUGAUCACAUGGCUGUCCUCAGCUCGUGUAGUGAGAUGUUAGGUUAAGUCCGGCAACGAGGGCAACUCACAUCUUUGUUUGCCAGCAGUUUGGCUGGGCUCUUUAAAGAAUCUCCUCUUGAUAAGCGGGAGGAAGGUGUGGAUGACGUCAAGUCCUCAUGGACGUUACGGGUUGGGCUACACACGUGCUACAAUGGCAGAAACAAUGGGUUAAUCGCAAAAAGCUGUCUCAGUUCGGAUUGGGGUCUGCAACUCGACCCCAUGAAGUCGGAAUCGCUAGUAAUCGCGUAACAGCAUGACGCGGUGAAUACGUUCCCGGGCCUUGCCACACCGGCCA
This 700-nucleotide ribosomal RNA is filed under the name uncultured bacterium. RNAcentral describes it as "bacterial SSU rRNA". It matches the Rfam family "Bacterial small subunit ribosomal RNA", at positions 674 to 1396 of the family's 1533-position model. The record is from RNAcentral.